GAUUAACGCUAGCGGCAGGCUAAUACAUGCAAGUCGAGGGGCAGCAGGGGUAGCAAUACUCGCUGGCGACCGGCGCACGGGUGCGUAACACGUAUGUAACCUUUCCUUAACUGGAGAAUAGCUCCGAGAAAUCGGGAUUAAUACUCCAUAACACUGCGAAGUGGCAUCACUUUGCAAUUAAAGCUCCGGCGGUUAAGGGCGGGCAUGCGUCCCAUUAGCUAGUUGGCGAGGUAACGGCUCACCAAGGCUACGAUGGGUAGGGGUUCUAAGAGGAUUUACCCCCACACUGGCACUGAGAUACGGGCCAGACUCCUACGGGAGGCAGCAGUAAGGAAUAUUGGUCAAUGGGCGCAAGCCUGAACCAGCCAUGCCGCGUGUAGGAUGAAGGUCCUACGGAUUGUAAACUACUUUUGUACGGGAAAAAACCCCUCGUUUCUACGAGGGUUGAUGGUACUGUAAGAAUAAGGAUCGGCUAACUCCGUGCCAGCAGCCGCGGUAAUACGGAGGAUCCAAGCGUUAUCCGGAUUCACUGGGUUUAAAGGGUGCGUAGGCGGAAUGAUAAGUCAGUGGUGAAAACCUAUAGCUUAACUAUAGAACUGCCAUUGAUACUAUUA
This 614-nucleotide ribosomal RNA is filed under the name uncultured bacterium. Its description in RNAcentral is "bacterial SSU rRNA". It matches the Rfam family "Bacterial small subunit ribosomal RNA", at positions 28 to 638 of the family's 1533-position model. The record is from RNAcentral.